GUUUCAAACUGGGAUUAGAUACCCCACUAUGCUUAGAAGUAAACCCAGGCAGCUCACCCAACCACCUGCCCGCCAGAAGACUACAAGUGAAAAACUUGAAACUCAAAGGACUUGACGGUGUCCCACAUCACCCUAGAGGAGCCUGUCCUAUAAUCGAUAACCCCCGCUAUACCCAACCUGCCCUAGAAUAAACCCAGCCUAUAUACCGCCGCCUUCAGCUCACCUUAUGAAAGACCCUCCGUGAGCCCAACAGUCACCACUAAAACGCCAGGUCAAGGUGUAGCUAAUGAGCAGGAAGCGAUGGGCUACAUUUUCUUUCCACAGAACAUCACCACCAGCGCCACGAAGCAGGCGCCAAAAGGCGGAUUUAGUAGUAAAUCGAGCAAACCUGCCCGCUUGAACCCUGCCCUGGGACACGUACACACCGCCCGUCACCCUCCUGCAGUC
RNAcentral lists this ribosomal RNA (447 nucleotides) under Hemidactylus treutleri (Treutler's gecko). RNAcentral describes it as "partial 12S ribosomal RNA". It matches the Rfam family "Bacterial small subunit ribosomal RNA", at positions 764 to 1412 of the family's 1533-position model. The record is from RNAcentral. Lineage: Eukaryota; Metazoa; Chordata; Lepidosauria; Squamata; Gekkonidae.